GGCUGGUCCAAAGGUAGUGAGUUACCUCACUUGAUUGUUCACAGUCAGUUACAGAUUGAACUCCUUGUUCUACUACUUCUCCCCACCCACUACUGCACUUGACUAGUCUUAA
This 112-nucleotide Y RNA is filed under the name Prolemur simus (greater bamboo lemur). Its description in RNAcentral is "Y RNA (ENSPSMG00000019362.1)". It matches the Rfam family "Y RNA". From Rfam's summary of the family: Y RNAs are components of the Ro ribonucleoprotein particle (Ro RNP), in association with Ro60 and La proteins. Lineage: Eukaryota; Metazoa; Chordata; Mammalia; Primates; Lemuridae. The record is from Rfam by way of RNAcentral.